GAUCGCUGUGAUGCGGGCGGUUCGCCGCCCGUGACUCUGCGAGAAGUCCAUUGAACCUUAUCAUUUAGAGGAAGGAGAAGUCGUAACAAGGUUUCCGUAGGUGAACCUGCGGAAGGAUCAUUGUCGAGACCGAAAUACAUCGAGCGAUUUGGAGAACCGGUUAAAAUAAGCGAUGGAUAUUCUUCCCAGCAAUGAAAGCCAUCCCAAUCGUUAUCUCAUCUCCUCAGGGACGGGGAUGCGAAUAAGGAUGGUUGAACACUCAAUCCGGCGCAGCGUCGCGCCAAGGGAAAAAUUGAAACACGAGCCUUCAAACGGGUUCGGUGGCAUGGCAUGCUGUCGCACGCCAUAUGAAUUGACACGACUCUCGGCAAUGGAUAUCUCGGCUCUCGCAUCGAUGAAGAGCGCAGCGAAAUGCGAUACGUGGUGCGAAUUGCAGAAUCCCGCGAACCAUCGAGUCUUUGAACGCAAGUUGCGCCCGAGGCCAACCGGCCAAGGGCACGUCCGCCUGGGCGUCAAGCAUUACUUCGCUCUGUGUCAUCUCCAUCCCAUCGAUGGAUGGGCUGGCGAAGGCUCGGAUGUGCUGAGUGGCUCGUCGUGCCCCUCGGUGCGACGGGCUGAAGAGCGGGUCAUCAUCUCGUUGGCUGCGAACAAUAAGGGGUGGAUUAAAGUGAGGCCUAUGUUAUUGUGUCGUGUAUGCCUGAGAGAAGAUUAUACAUAUUCAUGUGGAUCCCUAAUCAUGCGUCAAUCCAUGGAUGGCGUUUGGAAUGCGACCCCAGGAUGGGCGAGGCCACCCGCUGAGUUUAAGCAUAUCAAUAAGCGGAGGAGAAGAAACUUACGAGGAUUCCCCUAGUUUAAGCAUAUCAAUAAGCGGAGGAGAAGAAACUUACGAGGAUUCCCCUA
Molecule: ribosomal RNA, 900 nt
Filed under: Dendrobium jacobsonii
Lineage: Eukaryota; Viridiplantae; Streptophyta; Magnoliopsida; Asparagales; Orchidaceae
Description: eukaryotic LSU rRNA
Rfam family: 5.8S ribosomal RNA (bases 360-515)
Source: RNAcentral